UACGUAGGGGGCGAGCGUUGUCCGGAUUUAUUGGGCGUAAAGAGCGUGUAGGCGGUUCGGUAAGUCUGUCGUGAAAUCCUGAGGCUCAACCUCGGGCGUGCGAUGGAUACUGCCGGGCUAGAGGGUGGUAGAGGCGAGUGGAAUUCCCGGUGUAGCGGUGAAAUGCGCAGAUAUCGGGAGGAACACCAGUGGCGAAGGCGGCUACCUGGCCCACUCUUGACGCUGAGGCGCGGAAAGCUAGGGGAGCAAACAGGG
Molecule: ribosomal RNA, 255 nt
Filed under: uncultured bacterium
Lineage: Bacteria
Description: partial 16S ribosomal RNA
Rfam family: Bacterial small subunit ribosomal RNA
Source: RNAcentral